UGCAGCCUACGGGGCGCAGCAGUCGGGAAUAUUGCGCAAUGGAGGAAACUCUGACGCAGUGACGCCGCGUGCAGGAAGAAGGUUUUCGGAUUGUAAACUGCUUUAGACAGGGAAGAUACAAGACAGUACCUGUAAAAUAAGCUCCGGCUGACUACGUGCCAGCAGCCGCGGUAAUACGUAGGGAGCAAGCGUUAUCCGGAUUUAUUGGGGGUAAAGGGUGCGAAGACGGGAAGGCAAGUUGGUUGUGAAAUCCCUCGGCUUAACUGAGGAACUGCAACCAAAACUAUCUUUCUUGAGUGCUGGAG
Molecule: ribosomal RNA, 305 nt
Filed under: uncultured bacterium
Lineage: Bacteria
Description: bacterial SSU rRNA
Rfam family: Bacterial small subunit ribosomal RNA
Source: RNAcentral